GUGCUCUGCACAGAGUAAGCGCUUAACAAAUACCGACAAUAUUAUUAUUAUUUUCCGGAGUAGCGGAAGGUGGAGUCACGAGCUUUCGUCUUUAGGUGGUGACGAAGGGAAAUCCCAGAGCCCGCUGAGGGAGCGCUUCCAAAAUAUGGCCGCUGUCCUUCUCCUUGUCUCUGGGCCAUACGGCUGAAGCACCAGCCCUCGGCAGCCAGCAAACCCAGGUCCGCGCACGCCAUCGGCCCCCCACGGCAGCGACGGAGCGCCCGUUCGAGCAUUCGGAUGCAGUCUAGCCUUCUGCAGUUUCCUAGGUAACUGGCACUUUGCCACCCACCCCGGCCGGGCCCGCGCGGAGGAACAAGAGAAGACGCGGAUCGUGUCCGGCUUCCUUUCGGAGAGAGCGGAGCCGGGGGCAAAUACGGACAUCGGUUGUUAAUCGGAACACGAUACAAGGGAUCUCUUCCCUAACUGGGACUUUCUUAACAGUCUAUUUGCCGGCAAAGACAUUUCUCUUCCUGCCUCCAUCCGCUUCAAGGGUCCAGAGCUACAACACGGCAAGGAGGAAAACUCGCCUCAUCCGCUCUUGGUCUCCUGACUCCCGUCCCCUGACUCCGGUCUGGGUCUAAAAGGCUCCCCGCCAGACCGGUAGGAAAUAAAUGAAGACGACCUUCCCGAGGCUGAAGAAAAUAAAUUAUUAGCCCUCGGGGUGGAGGGAAAUAAAUAGGAAGGCUUUCUCAGGGCUAAAGAAAAUAAAUUAAAACUAAAAAGA
Ornithorhynchus anatinus (platypus) is the source of this 763-nucleotide long non-coding RNA. RefSeq lists it as uncharacterized. The transcript is spliced from 2 exons. The record is from RefSeq and is a predicted model, not a curated record. Lineage: Eukaryota; Metazoa; Chordata; Mammalia; Monotremata; Ornithorhynchidae.